ACAGGUUGCCCAAGGAGGUUGUGGAUGCCCCAUCCCUGGAGGCAUUCAAGGCCAAGCUGGAUGUGGCUCUGGGCAGCCUGGUCUGGUGGCUGGUGACCCUGUACACAGCAAGGGGGUGGAAACUAGAUGAGCAUUGUGGCCCUUUUCAACCCAGGCUAUUCUAUGAUUCUGUGAUAAGAUAAGAGCCUAUAUAAUAUCACGUUUAGAAUUUUUUAAGCCAGGAAUUUUACUAAGGCCUGGAUUAGUCAGCACAAUUAAGAGUUACCCUUCAUGACCAAUUAUUCAGUCAUCAAGGGUAAAACGUAUGUGCCCACACCCUGCUGUUUUAAAUACAGUGCUCAUAUAGUUUCUACGUGCAUCCACAUCUAUGUGUGCUAAAAGCAGUAACACUAAAGUUUUGAGACAAUCUGUUGAAAGACAGGCUGGAAGUCUUCAGCCAACCGUCUGCACAAGCAACAAUUUACAUAACACAGCAGCCCUAGCACCUUUUAUCAGAGGCACACAACAAGACUCUCAUCACAAGGGUAGCUGCAGCAUAAUACACACACACACACACGCUGUCCAUCACAGGUUUGGCUCCUGCUUUCUCUUUUGCAAAAAUGAUGCACUUCCUGGGCAUCCAGUGGAUGGAAACGUGAACCCCCUGGUUGUGUUUGCUGCUGAAGUAGCUCUGUGUGUGUUCUCUGUGACACCAAAGCUGGUUGGAUUUCUGCAUCCCCAUCAGCCUCUACAUGAAUUCUCACUUCACUAUUUACACUAGCUUAACUUUCUCUGGACAAUGCUGUAAACAGAUGCAUUUUAAAAUGACCUAAAGAGACAGAUAAAAUGUCAGCUCUUUUUCCCCCUCAUGUGCAAGAUUUCCUUUAGUUCAAAACAAUUCAAAGGCAAACCAAAAGUCGAAGGCUUUAUAGGAUACUUUGUUAUGCAAGCAAGCUUCAGCCAAUUUAUGUUGAUGCAAAAACUGCAUCCAAAAAUUUAAACAGAUGACCCAAUAUGUUUCCUUCCUGCACCAUACAAGUGAUCUCAUACACAACAAUGUAUUUUCCAGACAGUUUUUCCUGAAGAAAACCACUAUUUUUAGCUCUUAAAAGUGUGUCUUUUCAGAUAGUGUUUGCUGCGAGUCUGCUUUGAUCUUAAUGCAUAUCAAAGGAGUAUAAAUUACAAAUUCCUAAAUAAACUGCUUACAUUUAACUAUGCACUCUCUUUAAAUUUUAAUCAGAGUAGAACACAAAAGAAAUAGUAUUUCAGCUCCUAGGAUCCCAGCUUGGUUGGAUAUUCCACGUCUCCUUUAUCAGCCCUUUGCCAGCUGCUCAACUCUGAGAUAUUAUUUGAUUCUCGAUGGUACUUAUUUCCAUGCCUUUUGCUGUCUUUUUGGUUAACAGUCUACAGUGAUUCCAACAAAUAAAGGAUAUAGAUGCAUUAAAGGAUGCUUCAACUCUGUGUAAGUAUUAAAAUUCAAAUCAAGACACAAAAUAUAAGAUAUUCAAUACACAAUGGGAAGCACAUUUCAGUAGAAGCCGCCUUAUCCUGUGAAUCAGGAUUUCCAAGCACAGCUACUGUUUAAAAAGUAAAGUAAGGCAGAAAAAAAAUAUCAAGAUCCUUCUUACAUUUAUCAUCAGAUGUGACAUAUUUAUAAGGUUUAAUGCAACCAUGGAUUGUGUGUAUUUUAGGACAUAGCUAUAACUGAUGGAUGUACUUUUGACUUCCUGUCUCCCUAAGAAGCUGAAGUGUUUCUUCUAGUUAACACAGUACAAGGACAGGAAUGGAAGACAAGGGUAGAUGCCCUGAAUAACAAUAUUAGUCUAACAGAACAUGACUAGUUUAUUCUCUCUUCAGCAGUCUGUGGAGACAGGACAAGGGGAAAUGGCCAUAAACUGGAACAUAGGAAGUUCUGCAUGAGUCUGCAAAGGAACUUCUUCAUGACACACUGUUGCACGCCUCUUGAGAUCUCUGCUUCAAGGACAGAAGCAAGCAGUACAGGAAAACACUGAGGACUGACUCAGAUUUAGAUUCCUUUCCCCCCUUAUAAAAAGAGUGGAAUCCCUGAGCAACAAGUUUGAAGAUCAUUCCCCAGGGCUGGCAACUGAAUGAGCAGCAUCUUUGGAUAGAGACUGCACUCCUCUCAAGCUGUUACUGAUUAUUGGAAGGGGGC
Coturnix japonica (Japanese quail) is the source of this 2152-nucleotide non-coding RNA. Lineage: Eukaryota; Metazoa; Chordata; Aves; Galliformes; Phasianidae. The record is from RefSeq and is a predicted model, not a curated record.